This 228-nucleotide ribosomal RNA is filed under the name uncultured bacterium. RNAcentral's name for it is "partial 16S ribosomal RNA". It matches the Rfam family "Bacterial small subunit ribosomal RNA", at positions 118 to 351 of the family's 1533-position model. The record is from RNAcentral.
UAGGAACUUGCCCUUAAGAGGGGGAUAACCAGAGGAAACUUUGGCUAAUACCGCAUAAAACUCGAGAGAGGAAAGCUGCCCGCAAGGGUGGCGCUUAAGGAGAGGCCUGCGUCCGAUUAGCUAGUUGGAGAGGUAAAAGGCUCACCAAGGCGAUGAUCGGUAACUGGUCUGAGAGGACGACCAGUCACACUGGGACUGAGACACGGCCCAGACUCCUACGGGAGGCAG